UACGUAGGGACCAAGCGUUGUCCGGAUUCAUUGGGCGUAAAGAGCUCGUAGGCGGUUUGAUAAGUCGGGUGUGAAACCUCCAGGCUCAACCUGGAGACGCCACCCGAUACUGUCGUGACUAGAGUCCAGUAGGGGAGCGUGGAAUUCCUGGUGUAGCGGUGAAAUGCGCAGAUAUCAGGAGGAACACCAGCGGCGAAGGCGGCGCUCUGGGCUGGAACUGACGCUGAGGAGCGAAAGCUAGGGGAGCGAACGGG
This 254-nucleotide ribosomal RNA is filed under the name uncultured bacterium. RNAcentral's name for it is "partial 16S ribosomal RNA". It matches the Rfam family "Bacterial small subunit ribosomal RNA", at positions 524 to 776 of the family's 1533-position model. The record is from RNAcentral.